GUAUGAGUUAGUGGCGGACGGGUGAGUGACGCGUGGAAAACCUGCCGUAUACUGGGGGAUAACACUUAGAAAUAGGUGCUAAUACCGCAUAAGCGCACAGCUUCGCAUGAAGCAGUGUGAAAAACUGAGGUGGUAUACGAUGGUUCCGCGUCUGAUUAGCUAGUUGGUGGGGUAAAAGCCUACCAAGGCAACGAUCAGUAGCCGACCUGAGAGGGUGAACGGCCACAUUGGGACUGAGACACGGCCCAAACUCCUACGGGAGGCAGCAGUGGGGAAUAUUGCACAAUGGGGGAAACCCUGAUGCAGCGACGCCGCGUGAGUGAAGAAGUAUUUCGGUAUGUAAAGCUCUAUCAGCAGGGAAGAAAUACUGACCAUAGGGUCAGCAGACGGUACUUGACUAAGAAGCCCCGGCUAACUACGUGCCAGCAGCCGCGGUAAUACGUAGGGGGCAAGCGUUAUCCGGAUUUACUGGGUGUAAAGGGAGCGUAGACGGCAGCGCAAGUCUGAAGUGAAAUGCCAGGGCUUAACCCUGGAACUGCUUUGGAAACUGUGCAGCUAGAGUGCAGGAGAGGUAAGUGGAAUUUCUAGUGUAGCGGUGAAAUGCGUAGAUAUUAGGAGGAACACCAGUGGCGAAGGCGGCUUACUGGACUGUAACUGACGUUGAGGCUCGAAAGCGUGGGGAGCAAACAGGAUUAGAUACCCUGGUAGUCCACGCUGUAAACGAUGAUUACUAGGUGUUGGGGGACCAAGGUUCUUCGGUGCCGUCGCAAACGCAAUAAGUAAUCCACCUGGGGAGUACGUUCGCAAGAAUGAAACUCAAAGGAAUUGACGGGGACCCGCACAAGCGGUGGAGCAUGUGGUUUAAU
RNAcentral lists this ribosomal RNA (866 nucleotides) under uncultured bacterium. Its description in RNAcentral is "bacterial SSU rRNA". It matches the Rfam family "Bacterial small subunit ribosomal RNA", at positions 85 to 950 of the family's 1533-position model. The record is from RNAcentral.